UAAAAAUUAAAUUAUACACUUAUCUGUUGCUGCAAUAAUGAAAAGCCUCUUAAAAGUUAAAUAAAAUUAAAAUAUAAAAUACAGGAAGAUUAUUCCUUAAAACAGUAUUAUCACUACUAAGGAUUUGUUUAACUUUGUGAUCAAUAUUUAAUUUUAAAACUUUUAAGAGUAAAAUGCGGUUAACCAUGAUAAAAGCAGUUGUGCCAUUUUAAGAGAAUUUUAGAGUCAGUUUCCAAGCUUAAUUUUUUUUUAUUGGCCUGCAUUCUCAGUGAGCUGAGGUUCCAUGGCAACCAGAUACUUGGACUAGAAUGGAGAUCCUGAACUGCAAAAUUUAUCCAUGAUUCCACCUGUCAGGCUGAUUGGCCCUUGGAAGGUGGGAAAUUGGACCAUCAAAGCAGGAACCAACCCUGAGAAUGGUGCAUGUUAAGCUGGAAGGAGCCAGGAUCCCUGAAGAUUUUGAGAGAAUUACCACACCAGCUCUGAUCUGGAUGCAUUGAGUUGUUAAAGGAAAGAAAUUCACACUUUUGCCUUUCUCACCAUCCCUCAGAUCUAACACUUCCAAUUUAAAAAUUGCUCAACAUAUACACAUGAACGCAUGUCAAGAGUACAAGAUUU
Molecule: long non-coding RNA, 615 nt
Filed under: Oryctolagus cuniculus (rabbit)
Lineage: Eukaryota; Metazoa; Chordata; Mammalia; Lagomorpha; Leporidae
Description: lncRNA (ENSOCUG00000037663.1)
Source: RNAcentral